Molecule: long non-coding RNA, 807 nt
Filed under: Mustela putorius furo (domestic ferret)
Lineage: Eukaryota; Metazoa; Chordata; Mammalia; Carnivora; Mustelidae
Description: lncRNA (ENSMPUG00000026085.1)
Source: RNAcentral
CAGAGUGCUUCAGCAUUUUCCUGUCUGAAUCUUGAUAACAUUUUAUACCUUGGUGUGAAAGAUUGCUUUAGCUGAGAGAAAAAGGCUUUUGAUGUCAUAUUCCCCUGACACCUGCUGGUCUUAAGUGUUUCAGCAAAUAAUUCAGCAUGCUGGGAAUUUUUGAAUUAUAAUUUUUAUAUUCAUACCUUCUCAAAACUUUUUAGAGGUUUUCAGCAGCAGAGGAAAAGCAAGUGAUGCCAAGUGAAAUGAUCUCUGAGAGGAGCAAAUAUUAUUCACUGCCUAAAUGUGCAACCCACUACCUACUGGAUUCUACUGUUUCACAGGCAGUGUUUUACUGGAAGAGAGCAGCCUCUCUCAACCAUGGGGAGAUUAGACAUAAGCAACUGGAAGUGAAUAUCCUUAUCUGCCAUGACAGUACUUGACAUGUAGGAGAUCCUGGAGUUCCCAUAGCCCAGAUGGGUUCCCUGGAAGCUGUGGUGUUGAGAAAUCUGAAGGAUCCAGUACUAGGAGAGAUGAACCACAGAACCCAGAAAAACACACACAAGUGGAAGGGACUACAGAUGUCAAGAGGAGAGCUAAGCAGGAAACCCAAGUAGACUAGGUGAAAUCUACCCACACCCUUGUGGAUACCAGCUAAUGAAAAAGGCAUUGAUAAAGCUAAUCCCGAAAGGACACCGAGAAUAGAGAUGGUAGCCCAACACCACAAGUCUACCUCCACAAUGCAUGAAACAAUUCAAUAUUCUCUCAGAAGAAAUAUGCCAUUUGGAGAAAAAAGAAAGAGUCCUAACAAGGAGAUUAUGCUUUGAA